UCGGGAAUUUUGGGCAAUGGGCGAAAGCCUGACCCAGCAACGCCGCGUGAAGGAUGAAGUAUUUCGGUAUGUAAACUUCGUAAGAAUAGGAAGAAUAAAUGACGGUACUAUUUGUAAGGUCCGGCUAACUACGUGCCAGCAGCCGCGGUAAUACGUAGGGACCAAGCGUUGUUCGGAUUUACUGGGCGUAAAGGGCGCGUAGGCGGUGUGUCAAGUCAGUUGUGAAAUCUCCGAGCUUAACUCGGAACGGUCAACUGAUACUGUCACACUAGAGUACAGAAGGGGCAAUCGGAAUUCUUGGUGUAGCGGUGAAAUGCGUAGAUAUCAAGAGGAACACCUGAGGCGAAGGCGGGUUGCUGGGCUGAUACUGACGCUGAGGCGCGAAAGCUAGGGGUAGCAAACGGGAUUAGAUACCCACGUAGUCCCUGAGCGGGCUGGCAAGGCGCAU
This 448-nucleotide ribosomal RNA is filed under the name uncultured bacterium. Its description in RNAcentral is "bacterial SSU rRNA". It matches the Rfam family "Bacterial small subunit ribosomal RNA", at positions 355 to 825 of the family's 1533-position model. The record is from RNAcentral.